RNAcentral lists this transfer RNA (74 nucleotides) under Rozella allomycis CSF55. Its description in RNAcentral is "tRNA-Val (TAC) (tRNA-Val-TAC-1-1, tRNA-Val-TAC-1-2)". It matches the Rfam family "tRNA". From Rfam's summary of the family: Transfer RNA (tRNA) molecules are approximately 80 nucleotides in length. Their secondary structure includes four short double-helical elements and three loops (D, anti-codon, and T loops). Lineage: Eukaryota; Fungi; Rozellomycota. The record is from Rfam by way of RNAcentral.
GUUUUCAUGGUGUAGUUGGUUAUCACGUUCGCUUUACAUGCGAAAGGUCUCCAGUUCGAACCUGGAUGAAAACA